Molecule: ribosomal RNA, 253 nt
Filed under: uncultured bacterium
Lineage: Bacteria
Description: partial 16S ribosomal RNA
Rfam family: Bacterial small subunit ribosomal RNA
Source: RNAcentral
UACGUAUGGGGCAAGCGUUAUCCGGAUUUACUGUGUGUAAAGGGAGCGUAGGCGGCGGGGCAAGCCUGAUGUGAAAGCCCGGGGCUCAACCCCGGGACUGCAUUGGGAACUGCCCUGCUGGAGUGCCGGAGGGGCAGGCGGAAUUCCUAGUGUAGCGGUGAAAUGCGUAGAUAUUAGGAGGAACACCAGUGGCGAAGGCGGCCUGCUGGACGGUGACUGACGCUGAGGCUCGAAAGCGUGGGGAGCAAACAGG